UACGGGAGGCAGCAGUGGGGAAUAUUGCACAAUGGGCGAAAGCCUGAUGCAGCUAUGCCGCGUGUAUGAAGAAGGCCUUAGGGUUGUAAAGUACUUUCAUCGGGGAGGAAAAAACAAAACUAAUAAUUUUAUUUCUUGACGUUACCCGAAAAAGAAGCACCGGCUAACUCCGUGCCAGCAGCCGCGGUAAUACGGAGGGUGCUAGCGUUAAUCAGAAUUACUGGGCGUAAAGAGCACGUAGGUUGGUUUUUUAAGUCAGAUGUGAAAUCCCUGGGCUUAACCUAGGAACUGCAUUUUGAAACUGAAAUACUAGAGUAUCGUAGAGGGAGGUAGAAUUCUAGGUGUAGCGGUGAAAUGCGUAGAUAUCUGGAGGAAUACCUGUGGCGAAAGCGGCCUCCUAAACGAAUACUGACACUGAGGUGCGAAAGCGUGGGGAGCAAACAGGGAUUAGAUACC
RNAcentral lists this ribosomal RNA (456 nucleotides) under uncultured bacterium. RNAcentral describes it as "bacterial SSU rRNA". It matches the Rfam family "Bacterial small subunit ribosomal RNA", at positions 340 to 786 of the family's 1533-position model. The record is from RNAcentral.